RNAcentral lists this ribosomal RNA (497 nucleotides) under uncultured bacterium. RNAcentral's name for it is "partial 16S ribosomal RNA". It matches the Rfam family "Bacterial small subunit ribosomal RNA", at positions 28 to 507 of the family's 1533-position model. The record is from RNAcentral.
GAUGAACGCUGACGGCGUGCCUAAUACAUGCAAGUCGAGCGAACGGACGAGAAGCUUGCUUCUCUGAUGUUAGCGGCGGACGGGUGAGUAACACGUGGAUAACCUACCUAUAAGACUGGGAUAACUUCGGGAAACCGUAGCUAAUACCGGAUAAUAUUUUGAACCGCAUGGUUCAAAAGUGAAAGACGGUCUUGCUGUCACUUAUAGAUGGAUCCGCGCUGCAUUAGCUAGUUGGUAAGGUAACGGCUUACCAAGGCAACGAUGCAUAGCCGACCUGAGAGGGUGAUAGGCCACCCUGGAGCUGAGACACCGUCCAGACUACUACGGGAGGCAGCAGAAGGGAAUCGUCCGCAGUGGGCGAAAGCCUGACGGAGCAACGCCGCGUGAGUGAUGAAGGUCUUCGGAUCGUAAAACUCUGUUAUUAGGGAAGAACAUAUGUGUAAGGAACUGUGCACAUCUUGACGGUAACUAAUCAGAAAGCCACGGCUAACUACGUG